RNAcentral lists this ribosomal RNA (460 nucleotides) under uncultured bacterium. RNAcentral describes it as "bacterial SSU rRNA". It matches the Rfam family "Bacterial small subunit ribosomal RNA", at positions 28 to 475 of the family's 1533-position model. The record is from RNAcentral.
GAUGAACGCUGGCGGCGUGCCUAAUACAUGCAAGUCGAACGCACAGCGAAAGGUGCUUGCACCUUUCAAGUGAGUGGCGAACGGGUGAGUAACACGUGGAUAACCUACCUCAAGGUUGGGGAUAACAUUUGGAAACAGAUGCUAAUACCGAAUAAAACUUAGUAUCGCAUGAUACCAGGUUAAAAGGCGCUACGGCGUCACCUAGAGAUGGAUCCGCGGUGCAUUAGUUAGUUGGUGGGUAAAGGCUUACCAAGACAAUGAUGCAUAGCCGAGUUGAGAGACUGAUCGGCCACAUUGGGACUGAGACACGGCCCAGACUCCUACGGGAGGCUGCAGUAGGGAAUCUUCCACAAUGGGCGAAAGCCUGAUGGAGCAACGCCGCGUGUGUGAUGAAGGCUUUCGGGCGUAAAGCACUGUGUAUGGGAAGACAGCUAGAGUAGGGAAUGACUUUAGUUGACGG